This 253-nucleotide ribosomal RNA is filed under the name Ohtaekwangia sp. RNAcentral's name for it is "partial 16S ribosomal RNA". It matches the Rfam family "Bacterial small subunit ribosomal RNA", at positions 524 to 776 of the family's 1533-position model. RNAcentral also lists the same sequence under 1 other name. The record is from RNAcentral. Lineage: Bacteria; Pseudomonadati; Bacteroidota; Cytophagia; Cytophagales; Fulvivirgaceae.
UACGUAGGUGGCAAGCGUUGUCCGGAUUUAUUGGGUUUAAAGGGUGCGUAGGCGGCUUUUUAAGUCAGUGCUGAAAUAUCCCGGCUUAACCGGGAGGGUGGCAUUGAUACUGAAGAGCUUGAGUUCAGUCGAGGUAGGCGGAAUUGACGGUGUAGCGGUGAAAUGCUUAGAUAUCGUCAAGAACACCGAUAGUGUAGACAGCUUACUAGGCUGAAACUGACGCUGAGGCACGAAAGUGUGGGGAUCAAACAGG